This 460-nucleotide ribosomal RNA is filed under the name uncultured bacterium. Its description in RNAcentral is "partial 16S ribosomal RNA". It matches the Rfam family "Bacterial small subunit ribosomal RNA", at positions 338 to 795 of the family's 1533-position model. The record is from RNAcentral.
CCUACGGGAGGCAGCAGUGAGGAAUAUUGGUCAAUGGACGCAAGUCUGAACCAGCCAUGCCGCGUGCAGGAAGACGGCUCUAUGAGUUGUAAACUGCUUUUGUACGAGGGUAAACGCAGAUACGUGUAUCCGUCUGAAAGUACCGUACGAAUAAGGAUCGGCUAACUCCGUGCCAGCAGCCGCGGUAAUACGGAGGAUUCAAGCGUUAUCCGGAUUUAUUGGGUUUAAAGGGUGCGUAGGCGGUGGGAUAAGUUAGAGGUGAAAUCCCGAGGCUCAACUUGGGAAUUGCCUCUGAUACUGUUCGGCUAGAGAGUAGAUGCGGUAGGCGGAAUGUAUGGUGUAGCGGUGAAAUGCUUAGAGAUCAUACAGAACACCGAUUGCGAAGGCAGCUUACCAAGCUACUUCUGACGUUGAGGCACGAAAGCGUGGGGAGCAAACAGGAUUAGAUACCCGUGUAGUC